RNAcentral lists this ribosomal RNA (476 nucleotides) under uncultured bacterium. RNAcentral describes it as "bacterial SSU rRNA". It matches the Rfam family "Bacterial small subunit ribosomal RNA", at positions 28 to 481 of the family's 1533-position model. The record is from RNAcentral.
AAUGAACGCUGGCGGCGUGCUUAACACAUGCAAGUCGAGCGAGGCCUGGGGGGCAACUCCCAGAGUCGAGCGGCGGACGGGUGAGUAACACGUGGGUAACCUGCCCGGAAGUGGGGAAUACCUCGGGGAAACUCGAGCUAAUACCGCAUGACAUCUUUGGGACGAAAGUCCUGACGAUCAAAGCGGGGUCGCAAGAUCUCGCGCUACCGGAUGGGCCCGCGCCCGAUUAGCUAGUUGGNGAGGUAACGGCUCACCAAGGCUUCGAUCGGUAACCGGCCUGAGAGGGCGAUCGGUCACACCGGAACUGAGACACGGUCCGGACUCCUACGGGAGGGCAGCAGUGGGGAAUCUUGCGCAAUGGGCGAAAGCCUGACGCAGCAACGCCGCGUGGAGGAUGAAGGCCCUUGGGUUGUAAACUCCUGUCGGCUGGGAAGAAGUCGUGCGGUGCUCAUACCACCGUGCGUUGACUGUACCAG